GCCGCUGUGGUGGAAUGGUAGACACAAGAGACUUAAAAUCUCUAGCCUGUAUGGGCGUACCGGUUCGAGUCCGGUCAGCGGCACCA
RNAcentral lists this transfer RNA (86 nucleotides) under Tritonibacter mobilis. Its description in RNAcentral is "Epibacterium mobile tRNA-Leu". It matches the Rfam family "tRNA". From Rfam's summary of the family: Transfer RNA (tRNA) molecules are approximately 80 nucleotides in length. Lineage: Bacteria; Pseudomonadati; Pseudomonadota; Alphaproteobacteria; Rhodobacterales; Paracoccaceae. The record is from RNAcentral. RNAcentral also lists the same sequence under 1 other name.